GGGAGCCUUUGUCAGUCUCUGGGCCAGAGCCAAAUGGCGGCGGCCGAAGGCACGGCCUGCCCCAAAAUGGCGGCUGGACCCAUGGCCUGUCCCGGACUAGAGAUCACAAGAGUAAACUUGGAAAACACAGUGCUGAAAAGAUCUUGCCUUGAACUCGGUCAGAUGUGUUCCUCCCAGCUCUUACAGAGAUACAAAAACUGAACAGAGUAUGGUGGCAAGAAAAAGGAAAGAUGGAAAGGCAGAGGGGAAGGCAAAGGUGAAAGCUCAAGAGAAGACAUCCUCUCUUCUCCCUGCAUCUUUUCUUUCCUGAACCUUCACUUUCCCCCCACCCCUUUCAACACUUCAUUAUUCACAAGUCCCACUUGCCCUUUUAUCAUCCCUUGGUACCAUUAUCCUUGAAGAGAUGAGGAACAUUUAUAUCUGCAGGUCCAUUAAUUUAUGGUCAAAAAUGCUUCUGUACAGAGUUUCUCUAUUUGCACAUUAAUAGAUAUGUAUGCACACCCCCUUCCUCGCUCAAAAUUAUCUUUGAGUCUAUAAUUACACAGUAAGUCUUUCAGACUCCCUUUCUCCUGCUGUGCUUCAUAGAGAACUCUAUUUUAUUGGUUUUGUUUCAAUCUUCUCCAUUUCUACAGCAGAUUGAUGACGCAUUUUUACAGCUUUGGCAUUAACACAGAAAUAAUGAUGUUCUCACCCUGUCCAUUUCUAUAGAUGAUGCUGCAUCCUGAUAAUUUUGCACCACAGUGGGUUUUUCACAGUGUUUUCAAGACAAUCAUAAUAAUGAC
Molecule: long non-coding RNA, 782 nt
Filed under: Manacus vitellinus (golden-collared manakin)
Lineage: Eukaryota; Metazoa; Chordata; Aves; Passeriformes; Pipridae
Description: lncRNA (ENSMVIG00005015814.1)
Source: RNAcentral